Long non-coding RNA from Dalotia coriaria, 1310 nucleotides. RefSeq lists it as uncharacterized. The record is from RefSeq and is a predicted model, not a curated record. Lineage: Eukaryota; Metazoa; Arthropoda; Insecta; Coleoptera; Staphylinidae. The transcript is spliced from 2 exons.
CAAAGAUCUGCGCGAUCCAGUAUGCUCACAGUCCAGCAGCGAGCUGGCGUCGUCCAUGCCCACAUCGAAUGAGAAUUUUGACUCUGAAAUGGUCCCCAAAAUAUGAUUAAUUAUUAUUUUUACUUCAACAUAAAAGUACAACCAACCAGCUUUUAAGUAAAAGUUACAUAAAAGACGCCAUGCACCGUGUUCGUGUUUCAGUUCAGGACUCUUACCCGUUGCGAUCGGUUCAUUUUAUCUUUCGGAUUAUUGCGCACUGUACACCGACGGAACAUGCACCAUCGUCCACGGUUAGGGUGUGAAACGUGUCGAUUGUCAUGCUUGAGGGUAGAGGAGCGGUGUCAGGAUGGUGAACAUCACGCACACGCCGAUGACGAGGAUGCUGGAGAUGGCGGCGCGACGAGAGGAGUCUGUGUUCAGGGAUGUGAUGCUUUGCGGGAGCGGGGUGCAGGGAAAAGUGUGGUUCUUUAAAGAAAAAAUGAUUAAAUUAAAUCACAACAUACCAAACAACGCAUCCAAACUUAUAUGCUGAUUGUUGGCAUACCUAUUAACACAUAUUAUUGGUUUGAUUAAUUUCUGGAAAUUAGAUUUAAAUGUGCACCGACAGCAGUGAUUCGAGAUAAGUUGGUGCGAUGAAGGAAGAAAGUAUUUAACAUUCAUAUUAGGUUGAUUCUUGGAUUAAUAAAUGGGUUCAGCUAAAUAUUCGUCAUUUCUCAUAACAAUUAGUCGAAGUUAUCACAACUUUUGAUUGCAUUCUUGAGUAACUAAAUGUUAUUUACAUAACUGCAAUUUGGCAAAACCCAUUAAAAUGGAAACCGAUGAGUUAACCGAAACCAAGAUUAUAUGUACACACAGAAAUAAAUACAAUAGUGCGUGUUCAAAUAUAUACAUUCAUAAUCGGUACAAAUAUAUAAAUAAUAUAAUCACAUUGAUAAAGCAUGCAUUUAAAUCAGUAUAAAUACAAUGAUGACAGCACAUGCUAAAACAAUAUCCGUGCUGGUGGUUUGCAUUUGGUUGCAACACAAAAAAAAAUGUAAACGAUACAUUUAGUUCACUCCAGUGGCAACACAUGUAAUAAUUUGUAUUGAUUGUAACACUAUGUAGUAGAUAAAAGAACGAAAAUAUUAGUCACAGCUAGCUAACAAAAAGUAUGGCAACAUAAAUCCGUGUAUCCACUUGAUACAAAUAUCAAAUAAUUUUGUGGAAUGUGCUUCAAUAAAUCAGUGCGCCUCAUUAUUGCCUAUUAUCUCCUGCAUCAGUACGUUUCGAUUGCGUAUAUUAAAUUAAAUAAAUAAACGAUUACUAAAUGU